GGAUAAGUGGCAGUCGAUCUUCUAAUGACAAUGGACCACAGUGGUGAUUUGGAUAUAAUCUAGUUUAUGGUUAAACAAGUCUUUAAACUUUUCAUUCUUGCUGUGUUCCCGAGGAUAUUGUUUGCCCCCGACCCAACCAAAUAGAUUGGUCCAAGAAAACAAAGAUCAAAGAUGUUUCUCAUCAUUAGAUUAAUUCCACCCAAUGGCAUGGAGACCACAUUUUUUCCAAUGGAAUCACAGCAUUCUAAUUUCUAAGUUGAGUUAGGUUGCUUCUUGAAGGGAGCCUGCUAUACCUUGAAAAGUAGUAGUUGGAGCUCCUAAUUUUCAGUCAAACCAAUUUUCUGAAAAUUGGGUGAGCCGGUUGGGAUGGCUGCUAAUCUUAUCUACUUUGGUCAGCACUUUAUGUUUCAUCCCUCAUUCUUUAAAGAAUGAUAAUGAGAGCACCAUCAAAUAUAAUUACAUAGAUUUAACACUUGGAGAAACAAUAUCAUCAAGAUUUGAACCCCAACUUCCUUCACUAGCUGCAGCCGAGUCUGCCAUGUUUGAGAUUUGCCAAGCAAGAAGAGAUAACCCAAACUGCCCUCGAAGAUAAUAAAAUAACUUGCCUUGAAAACCUAGAAGAUAGUAAAAAUAACUUGAAGACUACUUCAUAUGCAUACGUGGAUAGGAGGUGAGAGAGUUGCAAAUAUAUAAUUAGAACCACUCAGAUGCUUUCCACCAAGCAUCCUCUUGGCCAUGGUGUACCUUAGGUUGCACAUACAGAGAAUGGUAAGAUGUGAAGGGUCAAGCCUUUGGCUUUGAGAUGAAGCUCGAAUUAUAAAAGCAAGGUAUCGUGCAGGUUUACUGGUGCACAGGAGAAGCACAUCAAGAGAAGCACAGGAAAUGCUGCGUAGGCUAAGGGAAAAGGAGAAUAAUUAGACUAAUUCAUAAGAAGGAGAUCAUCAUAUCAACACCAGUAAAGGUGGUAUUAUGGAGCCAAGCCAGAACAAGAGUGAGGAGAGAGAGAUUAGUGGAAUUAAAGAGAGGAUGACACCGAUCGUGACAAUUAGGAUAAGCACCUAAGAAUUGUCCUUGAUGACUUAUGACUCACACUGGGAUGCAGACCGAGAGGGAGACAUGGUCAAUUCGGUACAUAAAGCUAGAUGUUAAACGAUUGUAGACAGUUUCCAACCCUAAUGUAGGCGUUAAAUACGAGUUUAAGGUGGCCAAAUCCUAAAACUUUUAGUAUGAGGAGCCCAAGGUUUUAAAGAGGAAAGAGAGACCAAUGCCCGGGGUUCUACAAGAGAUAUAACUAGUAAGUCUAGAAGUCGUUACAAAUGGAUCAAUACUUUACCAUAAUCUGCCUCGAGGGAUGGGACCACAUGAUACAUAUAUUGAAAGAAUGUGCUAAAAAAUCUAGGACAAGGACAUUAUUUGAGAGGCUCUGGGCUUAAAUAAAAUAACCGACGUGUGGUCUCCAUCCUUGAAGAAGAUCUAACUUUGCACUUGAGUCUGAAAAUAAAAUAGCAUACUAGAGAUAGACUAGGAUCCGGUCAAGAAGAUCUCCACUCGGAUAUGAUAACGUUGAUAAUCUGAGCCACUAGAUGUGAUCUGCUAUCUCUGAACUGCUUGUACACUAAAAAUUGUAUGAUUUGGAGAUCGUUGGCAUGCGCAUCAAGUAAUCAAAAUAGUAUGUUUUGUUUUAUUACAUUUAAACUAUCUAAUUUUUGACCACUCAAUGCAUAAGCUAGAGAUCGCUAAAUCACAUGAAUUUUUGGUGUGUAAGUAGUUUAGAGGCAGUAUAUCACAUCCAAUAAUUUGGAUCAUUAAUGUCAGAUCUGAAUGAAAAUCUACUCAAUCCAAUCAUAUAUAUAUAUAUAUAUAUAUAGAGAGAGAGAGAGAGAGACACACACACACACACACACACACAUUAGUUCGAAUUAGGACUAGAAUCAGUCGGUAGGCCACACCACUAAUCAAAUGCAACCCAAAAGCUUUUUCGAUCUUUAGGCCUUCCUUUUUUCCAAAUCCUUAUCCGUGCUUAGGCUUGACCUAAAUAAACUUGGUUGGACCGAAUUAGCUUGACUGACCCAAAAUUCUUGGACUAAUUAGCCCAAAAUGCUUGGCGCAGCCUAAGAGACUCCUACCAAAAAGAAGAUCUUAAUGACAAACUUAGGCCGUGUUCAGGUUUUUGCUUCAACCGAGAAGACGGGCUCGAGCGGCAGAUUAGGGCCAAGCUAGCUAAUGUAUCAAAGGUUGUCCAAAAUUUAUUUAGAUCCUAUUUUUAGGUCCAAGCUUAACCUGAACAGUUUUGGGCCUAGUCCAAGGCUUAACCUCAACUGGCCCAGUCCAUUUCCAGCCCCACCUAAAAUAUAUGCAAGUAGCUUAUUGGCUGGAAUGGGUGGAAUUACUACUUUUUAUCCGAUUUAAUUGGGUUGGUGAAUUUGCGAGAGAAAAACGGUACCCCUCUACUAAUCAUGCUAGGUUAGUUUUAUCAAAAUGUCUGGCAUCUCAAGCUGCAGAUUGGGUUUAGGUAAAAUUAAAUAAAUCUCAUUUAGAUAAUCAAUGUAUAGAGCUUCAAAAAUUCCAAGGGUCUAGAUUAUAUGUGU
Molecule: long non-coding RNA, 2588 nt
Filed under: Phoenix dactylifera (date palm)
Lineage: Eukaryota; Viridiplantae; Streptophyta; Magnoliopsida; Arecales; Arecaceae
Description: long non-coding RNA (PDAC_LNC000361)
Source: RNAcentral